AUAGUUUCGGCUGCCCAAGCGACACAUAUUUUUCACGUUUUCGUAUUUUCUACGAAAGAUGUGUCGUGGAUCUGUUUCACGUUCUGCAUAGAGCAUUGUUGUGUUUGGACGAUGUGUUCUGCAUUGAUUUAGUUUAAACUUGUGUGUUUAAAUGUUUGCAAUGUCAUUUUUAAAUUGAUAAAGUUUCUUUUGGCCGUAGGUUUACUUCCACUUAUGUGAGUCAUUUGGAAAUGAAAAAAAUGCUAAAGUUAUAUAUCGACUCAUACACAAAUUCAUUGACGUGUGCACUAUUGCACAAGUGCAAAACCCUUGGACCCAGACGAUGUUGGUUCGGGCUCUCGUAGUAGUACGGGAAGAUCAUGUCAUGAACAAGCGUAAAAGGUACAAGCAAGUCAACAUCUCAUAGCCUGUCUUGGAGGAACUUUGACUCCAACAGAAAUUCCUGCACUCCUAUGUCCAAGGUAUGGAACAUGAUACAAAAAAUCAAAGGCAAAGGAUUAAAGUCUUCUGUUCACCAUCUUAAGGAUGGUGAUCAGUUAUUAACUGAUACAGCAGACAUUGCCAAUAAACCUGGUGAAACAUUGGAAAAACAUUCGUUAUGGUCUAAUUAUGUCCCUGAAUUCCUAAAAUAUCAGAAACAACAGGAAAAGGAAAAUGUUAAUUUUAACUGAUAACGGGGAAGACUAUAAUGAAGGGUUUUCCUUCCAUGGGCUACAUACUGCCCUUGGGCAAGCUCAUGAUACAGCGGCUGGUGCUGAUAAUAUUCACUAUCAGCUCCUGAAACAUUUGCCUAAAUCAUGUCUUGAAACACUUUUAGAUAUAUUUGACCAAAUAUUGACGUCGGGUAUAAUACCAUUGUAGUCCCUAUCCCAAAGCCUGGUUGGGAUCAUACAGAUCCCUCAAAUUACCGCCCUAUUUCUUCAACCAGUUGUGUCUGUAAAACCAUGGAGCGAAUGGUGAAUAAUAGAUUAGUUUGGUUCUUGGAAACCAAUAAUCUACUGAAGCACUAUUGUGGGUUUCAAAAGUCAAUAAACAUCAGAUUCUGCAUUUUCUCACACACUGCUUUAUUCUGUGAUCCAAACAGUCAAUGUUCAACGUAUACCAUACGAAGCAGGUUCAAGCUGAAACCAUACAAAACAACAAACUUACUUGCAUAUUCUCAUGUCCGAAACACAGCUAUCUUGU
Molecule: long non-coding RNA, 1185 nt
Organism: Haliotis rufescens (red abalone)
Lineage: Eukaryota; Metazoa; Mollusca; Gastropoda; Lepetellida; Haliotidae
Exons: 2
Source: RefSeq, a predicted model, not a curated record